RNAcentral lists this ribosomal RNA (460 nucleotides) under uncultured bacterium. Its description in RNAcentral is "partial 16S ribosomal RNA". It matches the Rfam family "Bacterial small subunit ribosomal RNA", at positions 338 to 795 of the family's 1533-position model. The record is from RNAcentral.
CCUACGGGGGGCAGCAGUGAGGAAUAUUGGUCAAUGGACGAGAGUCUGAACCAGCCAAGUAGCGUGAAGGAUGACUGCCCUAUGGGUUGUAAACUUCUUUUAUAUGGGAAUAAAACGUUCCACGUGUGGGAUUUUGUAUGUACCAUAUGAAUAAGGAUCGGCUAACUCCGUUCCAGCAGCCGCGGUAAUACGGAGGAUCCGAGCGUUAUCCGGAUUUAUUGGGUUUAAAGGGAGCGUAGGUGGAUUGUUAAGUCAGUUGUGAAAGUUUGCGGCUCAACCGUAAAAUUGCAGUUGAAACUGGCAGUCUUGAGUACAGUAGAGGUGGGCGGAAUUCGUGGUGUAGCGGUGAAAUGCUUAGAUAUCACGAAGAACUCCGAUUGCGAAGGCAGUUCACUGGACUGCAACUGACACUGAGGCUCGAAAGUGUGGGUAUCAAACAGGAUUAGAUACCCGAGUAGUC